GACGAACGCUGGCGGCGUGCCUAAUACAUGCAAGUCGAGCGCUGAAGGCUGGUACUUGUACCAACUGGAUGAGCAGCGAACGGGUGAGUAACGCGUGGGGAAUCUGCCUUUGAUUGGGGGACAACAUCUGGAAACGAAUGCUAAUACCGCAUAAAAACUUUAAACACAAGUUUUAAGUUUGAAACAUGCAAUUGCAUCACUCAAAGACGAUCCCGCGUUGUAUUAGUUAGUUGGUGAGGUAAAGGCUCACCAAGGCGAUGAUACAUAGCCGAGAUGAGAGGGUGGACGGCCAAAUUGGGACUGGGACCCGGCCCAAGCGCCUACGGGAGGGAGCAGGAGGGGAACUUUGGCAAUGGGGGGAAGGCUUGACGAACAACGCCGGGGGGGUGAAGAAGGGUUUCGGGUCGUAAAACUCUGUUGGUAGGGAAGAAAGUUGGUGAGAGUGGAAAGCUGAUGAAGUGACGGUAACUACCCAGAAAGCAACGGCUAACUACGUG
Molecule: ribosomal RNA, 497 nt
Filed under: uncultured bacterium
Lineage: Bacteria
Description: partial 16S ribosomal RNA
Rfam family: Bacterial small subunit ribosomal RNA
Source: RNAcentral